Molecule: non-coding RNA, 1807 nt
Organism: Arachis ipaensis
Lineage: Eukaryota; Viridiplantae; Streptophyta; Magnoliopsida; Fabales; Fabaceae
Source: RefSeq, a predicted model, not a curated record
AUUUGUUGAGAUAUAUCUAUAAAUUAAGUGUUUAGUACUUUGUCGAUUCAAAUUUUAGAAUGCAAAAUAGUUAUCUUUUAUGUGCCUUCAAGAUGUACCAUUUUUUACUGAUCAAGGUUGGUAGAAAAAUUUUAGUAUAUAGCAUAAUAGUUGUUUGAAACAAACAUGACAAUAUUCAUGUCUCUCAUUCAAAGUAUACAUAUUUAAUUUAAUGUUCUGUUUUGGCAGGUGACUAUUACUAAAUAUGUCAUAUGAAGUUCUUGAACAAGCAAUAAAUUCUACCAAUGAUUCCAAUAUGCUAGGAAAAGGAUGAUCAGCUGCGCGAUGAAUUUGGAGACCAAAGAAGGUGUUGUCAUCAAGAAGAUCGGGAAUGACUUUGACAACCGGAUCGAUGCCAAGAGGGCUUUCCGGAAAAUCAAGCUCAUCUGUCACAUGGACCAUGAUAAUGUAAUCAAUUUUAUUUUUCUCUAAUCAGUUUUUGAUUCGGUUUUGGUUUUGAAGUUUUUGGUGUGAAUUAUGUGUGGUAGGUGAUUAAGAUAAAGGAUAUAAUAAGGCUAGCAGAGAAGAAAAAUUUCAAUGAUGUGUACAUAGUUUAUGAGCUAAAGGACAUGAGAAUCUGUCAUUCAUUCUUCUUCUUUAAUGAAACUAACUACAACCAUGACAAUAGAAGAAGACUCCUUGGCUGUACUUCUAUUUUGACAGAGCUGUUGAACAGUUUCAAUUUCCUCUUUACAUUUUUUCUCUUAAUUCAAAGUUUAGACAUUUUCCUUCUUAGCUCUAUGAUUUUUUUUUUCAAUUUUGAAUUUCUCAUUUUCAUUUCUGGCAUGCCAUUGGCUGAGUUUAUAAUAUCACUUCUGAUUAUUCCAAUUUUAAUUUCAAUUUUGAAUAAUACAUAGGAUUGGGAAUCAAUCAUCUUUUCUGUUUACAUCAACUUUCUUAGAACAUAAUAAUCCAUUGAGGCAUGUUAAUGUUCUUUCAAAAACCAGAACUCUCUCUCUCUCUCUCUCUCUCUCUCUCUCUCAUUUUAGUGUAUAUAUAUGUACACAUUUCCAUGCUAGUGUGGAUCAUCAUGAAAGGUAGACUUUAUUGUUUGUUCUUUGGAAUUGCCAAUGUGAAUGAUAUUUUAUUUUUAUUUUUUCGGUAUUUUCUUUGUGCAAUAGUUUCUACUAUUUGUUUACCUUCCUUUCUGACAAACUUCAAAAUUUUUUUCCUUUUUUUAAUUAAUUUCUGUUUAGACAAUUGUAUUUAUAAAGAGAGGUGCAUAUUUACUAAAGUGUGGUCGCAGAGGAAAACCAAAGCUCUGCCCUUUCAGACUUCCCUAGGAUGAGAGGAAUUUGAUUUAGUACUCAAGGCAGCAUGAAAGCAUUUACGAUUGAGUUCGGUUUUGAAGAUUGUUCAAGGAAAGGAAAAUAUAAGAUGCCAAAGGCAAAAUAAAGCUGAAAAGGAGUGCCAUACAUUUUUGCUAAUCUAUGUUGAUGUGGACAUUGUUUGAGAAGAGGAAUGAUAUGGGAGUUUUGUGAUUGCACUAUCAAGGGGAUUGCUUUUCAUUAUUUUUGGUAUCCAGUCAUUCUUUUAGUAAGCACUUUACCUUUUUUUGAGUGUUUUGAGUGUUUUGUUAUUACAUACAUCUAACCUUUGUUAAUCUUGACUAUUCUCUUUCUAUUAUAUUCUUUCCAGGCCUUGGGUUGAAUAGUGAAAUGCUUAAUGCAAAAGGAUUUAGAGUUAGGAGUUAAUAAUUUAAUUUUCGUAAAAAGAAAAGUAAGUUAAAAAGAUAAUUAUCAAGCUCAAUUAACUUCAAUUUUAUGAU